This 2748-nucleotide long non-coding RNA is filed under the name Equus caballus (horse). RNAcentral's name for it is "lncRNA (ENSECAG00000056790.1)". The record is from RNAcentral. Lineage: Eukaryota; Metazoa; Chordata; Mammalia; Perissodactyla; Equidae.
CUGAAAGUGACCAUAUUUGGAAAUAGGGUCUUGUCGCUAUAAGCAGUUAAGACGAGGUCAUAGUGGACUAGGCUGGGCCCUAAAUCCAAUGACUGCUGUCCUUAGAAGAGGAGAAGAAGAUACCAGGGAAGAAGGCCGCAAUGAUGGAGAUGGGUGGGACUGGAGUGAUGCAUCUACAAGCCAAGGACCUCUGGCCACCAUCAGAAGCUGGGAAGGAGGCACAGGACAGGUUCUCCCUCAGAGUCUCCAGAAGGAACCAACCUGCUCACGCCUUGAUUUCAGACUCUGGCCUCCAGAAUGGGAGGCAGAGUCUGGCUACGUGGCCACCAAUGCAGUUGCCUUCUGCUCCAGGGCACACACUAAACUACGUUUCCCAGGCCGCUUGCCCUUGGUUUGGAGCCUAGUGACUGAGUUCCGGACAACGGACUGAAGACAGAAGUGGUGUCGCCACUUCCAGACCUGCCUGCCUGGCCUAAAACACCACCUAUGUGCCAUCUCAGUUCUCUCUUCUCCACCCUCAGUGGCUUUGGCAGGUCUGUUGAAGAUGGUGGCACUGCCAGAUACGUAUUUACUUUUAUAGUUCUGUUUAUAAUAGGUAAAAAGAAAUAAAAGUAAGGCCUGGUAAAGAAAAAUUAGCAAAUCAUAGGAAAGCAUGUAUGGGAAAAAUCAUAGAGGUGUUGCAUGCACAAGAAACACUGCAUUACAACCUUCCACAUUCCUAUUUCAAAUGCAGCAUAGUCAUUGGGAGUGAGUAUAAGAGUGAAGAGACGAAGGAGCAGGUGAAUCUGGGGAGACAUCAUGGGAGAGAGACCCUGGAGCAUCCUGUGGAGGCUGUAAAGGUGCGUCGGGGGGAUGGGAUGAGCAGUUCAGGCUGGUCCCAUUGACCCAGGAAUUAAUAACCAAGCAGUUAAUGUGUACAUAACUCUUUCAUUCCAGGUCUGGUCCCCAAAAUCUGAAUAAACUCUCGUUGUGGGCAGAAUGCAUACCUCUCCACGUCUGUGUCCCCAUGGCUUCAGGCCUGGGGCCACACACUCAAGAGGCCUUCAGGAAUGCCAGGCACAGGAACUCUGCGAAGGAGCAGGUAAGGUCUGGGGUUUCAGUGCACCCUGAGCGCUGAUGGGGACACUCUCCUGGGGGCCCCAAUGGAGCCACCUGCUGGAGUGCUUCUUCAGGUAGGUCUGGCUACCUGACCUGGGAGGUAGAGUUUUAGUAGCCUGGGGACACCCCUUUCUCUGUAGCCCAUGACUCCUGCUUCUCUGGGUGUGUGUGGGAGGGAUGGGACUACGGAGUUCACAGAGCGGGUCAAAACAAAAGAGGCUGGCAGGGCAGCAGUGCCAGGGGAACCACCCAUCUCUGCCUUCUGCGCCUGAGGCCUCCUGGGCAGCUGCAAGGUGAGGAAAUUUGAGAAGAGGCAGAUUGGGUUUGCUCCCCUGGUUCUCCCGGCAGCACUAGAUAAAAAGAGGCAGGACGGCUUUCCCACACAGCUGUUUCGUCAUUCUCUAGGUACCAGACUUGGCUCCCUGGAUCCCUGAGAUGCCCAGAGGAGUGCACAGUCUAGUGCUGGAAGCAGCAGUUUUCCCAGGUGGCCAAGAUGAGGGGUCUCUCCCUUCUGGACUUUUCCUGAAGCAGAGCACCAAGCAGUCUUGAGAGGCCUGUCUGCUGUCACAGCAUAGGUCACCAUCGAGGGAUUCUGAUGAGUGUGCACGAGGGGCAGGGCCUUUGAGAAUCAGGCAGGGGACCCUGUCCCCACUCUACUCAAACUGAAUGGGGAAGGAAGGAGGCCUGGGAGCCACUGUCACUCUCACUCUGCUCCAGCUUCCCUGAGAUGGAAGCCAGGACUCAGGAGGAUGACUGAGUGUGGAAAAGAGGGAGGCUGAGAGCCCAGGAGGGCAUUCCCAACCUCAGAAAAGAUCCCUGGGUCCCACAGGGACCUCAAAACUGAAAGAUACUAUACCUGGAAACACCACAGACCUGAACAAUGAGGAGAACAGUGGCGAGUCUGAUAAACUGGAGAGGAGAGACCCUUCGCUGAUCCUCAGGGCUCCGUAUCAGCAUUCCGGGGUGCCAGGACACCCUGGCAGGGGAGGGGCCCGACUGUGCCCGUGAAGGAUCCUGUAGGAAGGAGUAGGUCUUGGAGUCAGAAUUAAGUUGAUUUAAAGAGAAUCAAUUUAGCAGACUGAGAUUCACACACAUUAUAUAUGCUUGAUUGUGUAACUUCCUCUUUCCUUCCUCAGCAGUUUUAAAGGUGGAUUAUCAUUUGUAUAAGCUAGAAUUUCCUAAUUAAUAAACUUUACUUUUUAGAGCAGUUUUAGAUUCAUAGCAAAAUUGAGCAGAAAGUACAGAGAGUCCGCAUAUACCGCCCGUCCCCAAGCAUGUACAGCCUUCCCUACUCUCCGCAUCUCGCAGAAGAGUGGUGCAAGUCUGAAAGACAAGCGUGAAGGCAAAUCCUGCCGAAAGGCAGAGCUUUAAGCAGUACAUUUGUUGUUCACUUCAUGCAGAAGGAGAGAUGGCCGAGGGUAAGAAACUAUACCGAUAUACAGUCAAUGGUUAAUGGAUUGAGAGAUGGUCAUCAACUUGGAGAGAAGAGGUUUAGAAGACUGGUGACAAGGAGGUCUGGUUCUCUGCCCCUCCGUCUUUGCCUUCACCUGCUUCCCCUUUAUAUCUCUGGUCUUCCUGCUGUCCCCUACACUGUCUUCUUUUUCGGGCUCCUCAUCAUUGCAGCUUCUAGUCUUCACAAAACAAAUCAAC